Long non-coding RNA from Amphimedon queenslandica, 865 nucleotides. RefSeq lists it as uncharacterized. The transcript has 2 exons. NCBI's taxonomy places the organism in Eukaryota, Metazoa, Porifera, Demospongiae, Haplosclerida, Niphatidae. The record is from RefSeq and is a predicted model, not a curated record.
CUUGAAUUCUCUUUAUUCCCAUCAGCUUCAUGCUUCAACUUGAUGUGUCGAGAUAAGCUACAUUUUUGAUUAUAACUCUUCCACCUCCACCUGGUCACUCAUGGGCCAUGGCUGCUUUUAGUGCUUUAUUAAUAACUUCAUUAACUUGAUUAACUUCAAUUAUAUUAUUACAACUAGACCACACCUCCAAUGCAAACGACCUCUCCCUAAUGGCUAGUGCAAGAAGGGGGAAACCUCGGGGGAAACAGACUUUGAACAAUGUACUGGACUCAAAGGAAAGGCUAAUACAAUUAUAGGUAAGGAGAAGAACUGCAUAAUCGUGCAGCAAAUGCUAAGAUAGGUGGCCAUACCUUUUUUACAUUGUCUAAGCCUUUAUGCUAUGCUUUUGAAGGUAGGAUUUGUAUAUAUGCCUCCUAAUAACAAUGCUUACUACUUUUCUGCUUUAAAAUGGAGUAUUAUAACAAUAAGAAACAUAGUUUCAGAAUGUGAUAAAUAACAGUCCAAGAUCUCAACUUGAACAAUGAUAAAAUGAAGGAUAAGCAGUUGAUAUACAGGAACUUGAACUACAGACACAAUUUGAUGAACCUGAGUCUUUUUAUUCUUGUCUGUUGGGAGUUCGGUGAUGAAUAGAUGAUGAUCACACCAUAAGUUAUACUUGGAGAUGCUGUUGUACCUCUCCUAAUAAAUCUGUGACUGCCCACAACAAUGAGAAAGACAUCUGACUACUUUUAACUUUUAAUUUACAAUAUCUUUAGUUUUAUUAAUAAUUAUAAUACCUGUGAUGUGCUGUAUUUGAGAUAAUCAUAUUCAUAGUUGGUAUACACAAUAUAAAUAAACACUUAACAAACAAUUAGCAGCUACUUCA